AAAAACUCAAUUACUAGGUUUUCGUAUCUAACAUUUGACCGUCCGUCUUAUUUGAAAAAUUUAUAAAAAAUUUAAAAAUAUUUAGUCGCACAUAAAGUACUAUUCAUGUUUUAUCAUCUAAUAGAAAAAAAAUACUAAUCAUAAAAUAAUUUCAAAUAAGACGAACGGUCAAACGUUGAACGUGAAUAGUGCAAAACUACACUUAUU
Molecule: non-coding RNA, 207 nt
Organism: Oryza barthii
Lineage: Eukaryota; Viridiplantae; Streptophyta; Magnoliopsida; Poales; Poaceae
Source: Rfam